CGGCGGACGGGUGAGUAACGCGUGGGUAACCUGCCUCAUACAGGGGGAUAACAGUUAGAAAUGACUGCUAAUACCGCAUAAGACCACAGGGUCGCAUGGCCCGGUGGUAAAAACUCCGGUGGUAUGAGAUGGACCCGCGUCUGAUUAGCUGGUUGGUGGGGUAACGGCCUACCAAGGCGACGAUCAGUAGCCGACCUGAGAGGGUGACCGGCCACAUUGGGACUGAGACACGGCCCAAACUCCUACGGAAGGCAGCAG
Molecule: ribosomal RNA, 258 nt
Filed under: uncultured bacterium
Lineage: Bacteria
Description: partial 16S ribosomal RNA
Rfam family: Bacterial small subunit ribosomal RNA
Source: RNAcentral